Molecule: ribosomal RNA, 253 nt
Filed under: uncultured bacterium
Lineage: Bacteria
Description: partial 16S ribosomal RNA
Rfam family: Bacterial small subunit ribosomal RNA
Source: RNAcentral
UACGAAGGGGGCUAGCGUUGUUCGGAAUCACUGGGCGUAAAGGGCGCGUAGGCGGCUUUUUAAGUCGGGGGUGAAAGCCUGUGGCUCAACCACAGAAUUGCCUUCGAUACUGUAGAGCUUGAGACCGGAAGAGGUAAGUGGAACUGCGAGUGUAGAGGUGAAAUUCGUAGAUAUUCGCAAGAACACCAGUGGCGAAGGCGGCUUACUGGUCCGGUUCUGACGCUGAGGCGCGAAAGCGUGGGGAGCAAACAGG